CGGACGGGUGAGUAACGCGUGGGUAACCUGCCUCGCACAGGGGGAUAGCAGUUGGAAACGACUGAUAAUACCGCAUAAGCGCACAGUACCGCAUGGUACAGUGUGAAAAACUCCGGUGGUGUGAGAUGGACCCGCGUCUGAUUAGCUUGUUGGCGGGGUAACGGCCCACCAAGGCAACGAUCAGUAGCCGACCUGAGAGGGUGACCGGCCACAUUGGGACUGAGACACGGCCCAA
This 235-nucleotide ribosomal RNA is filed under the name uncultured bacterium. Its description in RNAcentral is "partial 16S ribosomal RNA". It matches the Rfam family "Bacterial small subunit ribosomal RNA", at positions 99 to 334 of the family's 1533-position model. The record is from RNAcentral.